GAAUUUUGGACAAUGGGCGAAAGCCUGAUCCAGCAAUGCCGCGUGCAGGAUGAAGGCCUUCGGGUUGUAAACUGCUUUUGUACGGCACGCAAACCUUUGGGUUAAUACCCUGGAGUCAUGACGGUACCGUAAGAACAAGCACCGGCUAACUACGUUCCCGCAGCCGCGGUAAUUCGUAGGGUGCAAGCCGUAACCGGAAUUACUGGGCGGAAAGCGUGCGCAGGCGGUUUUGUAAGACAGAGGUGAAAUCCCCGGGCUCAACCUGGGAACUGCCUUUGUGACUGCAAGGCUAGAGUACGGCAGAGGGGGGUGGAAUUCCGCGUGUAGCAGUGAAAUGCGUAGAUAUGCGGAGGAACACCGAUGGCGAAGGCAACCCCCUGGGCCUGUACUGACGCUCAUGCACGAAAGCGUGGGGAGCAAAC
Molecule: ribosomal RNA, 422 nt
Filed under: uncultured bacterium
Lineage: Bacteria
Description: partial 16S ribosomal RNA
Rfam family: Bacterial small subunit ribosomal RNA
Source: RNAcentral